GUUGAGGUUGUUGUAUUCAUCACCUGAUGCUGCAUUGCAAAAUGCAGGCUGAUCGGGAUUGUUAUUCUUUUAUCCCUAUUUGAAUAAAAUAUUACUUAUAAAAAAAAAAAAAAUUCGUCCAUCGUUAUUAUCAGGAUAAAAUUAAAAUGAGAGUAGCUAGAUAGUGAGACAAUCCCCGCCAUUGAAACUCCAAUUACCAUAGUCAUCAGUCGGUGUUCUCUCCCUAAUCUCUUACCCCGCUAUUGCUGCAAUUCCCUCCUCAGUCGUUGUUCUCUCCCUACUUCCCUACUCCUUCUGCUUCAUAAUUCUCCCGUUUUGCUACAAUUCCCUCCUCAGUCGGUGUUCUUUCUUAUAUUUGUUCUUAACCUUAAUUACAAAUUGUCUAUAUCGUCUUCUCGAUGCAGUUUGGAGGUUGUUUGUUCUUCCGCCUCCCAUAUCUUCUUUCAUUUUUUGUAUUGAUAUAGACUCGGUUGAACAUAUUAUCAGUCUUUUCCUAUCUAUCUAUCUUAUUAGAUCGUUCGCUUACUUCUUCAUCAUUAAUUAAAAAAAAAAAAUUUAUUUAUCAAAUGUUUCUACAAAAAAUUUAUUUAUCAAAUGUUUCUACUAUAGGUACUAUUGUGUUAUAAAUUUGUUCUUCUACUUACAAAAAUAAAAUGAAUUUCUUUUAUAUUUAGUUUUCUUUUUUUAAUAAUCUCUUCUAUGCUGUAUUUUUCUGAUAUUGAUCUUUCUCUUAUAUAUUUUUUUGGAUACAGGAUCGGUGCCUCUGGUAUGGACUUGCUUAGUAAAGCAAAGGUGGGUUUUCGUUAAUUAAUUUGCACCUUCUCCACUAUUAAAAAAAAAUGCCCCCAAUCUUACCGCCUUCAUCUCUAUAUAUAUCUCUGAUCGUCUCUAUUUGUUCUUUUUCAGGUUGACUAGCCAAGACAUAUUUCCCUACAACUCUUUUUCAGGUUGACUAACCACUCUGAUCAUAUUUAAUCUCUCCUGUUACUUUCUUUUCCUUAAUUUUCUUUUCUUUACUAAUGUAGUACUUUUCUUUCUUUAUUUCUUUGUUCUCAAAUUGGUAGUGUUUGUUCUAAAAUCUGUAUGGCAUUAACUGAAAUUAUCCGGCAGUCACAUUUAAACAAAACUACCCUUUCAUUUUCUGUCAAUACCCUUUCAAUACCCCUCCACAUAUAAUUUUCAAUACCCUUUCAGAUAUAAUUUUCUGUCAAUACCCUUUCAUUUUCUGUCAAGUUGUUUCUGUUAAACAAAAGCAACUUCACAGAAAAUGACGUCAACAAUAAUGUUGAAUGUUAUUAAAUCUUUCCAGUUGUAUGUUCUUAAAUCUUUUAAUAAAUAUCUCUCUAUAAUUUUGUAGUUGCAAUCACCUCAACCAUUUGCAGUUGCUCCGCAGUUUCUUCCGCGUCCCUCGCAUUCACCUCAGGUUCUUCCCAACUUAUUCGUUCCUGUAUUUAUAUAUAAUAUACAUACAUGAGCCUCUAGAUUUUCCUAUAUGAUCUCUGGCCUUUUAGGUUGUUUUUAUAUAUAUUUACUUUCACAUGACUCUGUCUUCAUUUGAAUCAACUUUUAGAUUUGGUAUAUGAUAUAUAUACUUGAACCUUUAGAUUUGGUCUUGAAUAUAUUUCCCUACAACUCUUUUUCAGGUUGACUAACCACUCUGAUCAUAUUUAAUCUCUCCUGUUACUUUCUUUUCCUUAAUUUUCUUUUCUUUACUAAUGUAGUACUCUUCUUUCUUUAUUUCUUUGUUCUCAAAUUGGUAGUGUUUGUUCUAAAAUCUGUAUGGCAUUAACUGAAAUUAUCCGGCAAUCACAUUUAAACAAAACUACCAAUAUUAGCAUCAUGUUAACCUGUUACAUGUUUAUGUCAAUACCCUGUGAUUAUGUCAAUCCUAUCCUGUCAAUACCCUUUCAUUUUCUGUCAAGUUGUUUCUGUUAAACAAAAGCAACUUCACAGAAAAUGACGUCAACAAUAAUGUUGAAUGUUAUACAAUCUUUCCAGUUGUAUGUUCUUAAAUCUUUUAAUAAAGAUCUCUCUGUAAUUUUGUAGUUGCAAUCACCUCAACCAUUUGCACUUGCUCCGCAGUCUCUUCCGCGUCCCUCGCAUUCACCUCAGGUUCUUCCCAACUUAUUCGUUCCUGUAUUUAUAUAUAAUAUACAUACAUGAGCCUCUAGAUUUUCCUAUAUGAUCUCUGGCCCUUUAGGUUGUUUUUAUAUAUGUUUACUUUCACAUGACUCUGUCUUCCUUUGAAUCAACUUUUAGAUUUGGUAUAUAUACAUGAUAUAUAUAUAUUGAACUUUUAUAAGUUAUGUGUUUUCAUUGAACUUACAUGUUAUCGCACUGGAAUAAACUUGCCCUUCAUGACCAUGCCAGCUUCUAUGAGUAUUCAAAGAAGGAUUAUUCUGGGAGCUUUUUUAUCUGAGUUGGUCCUGACAUAUCCUUAUUGUCCAGAGGCCAAACAAAGUACAGGUACAAAACUUCGUACACCGAUAUUUUUCAACAGAUUUAAAUUAUUUGACAUAACCCUACAAUUCUUAUUUUAUUUUUUUUUAAUUUUUUUCUCAGAUUAGGACAAGAUACGCUAUCUUUAUGAUAAGUUCAUGAUGUUUAUCCUCACAUAAUCUCUGAAAAUAGUUCUUAAUGGUGAUGAUUAAAAUAAACAAAAUAGAUGAGUCAGAAGUAUGAUGAUCAUGAGUAUGCUCUUCAAAAUACAUUGGUAACAAAGUGGUUUUGUGGUCGAUGAUGACAAAAAUAAAUUAUAUUUGGCAACAACUAGGGAUACAUCCAAUAGAAGUAUCAAAAGGACAUUAGUCCACCCAGACAUGAGAAUGCAUAUUUCACUAUUUUGAACUCCUACCGCAGCCCACUGUCCUGCAUACUGAACCAUCAACCAACAGUUCAUAGAAUGCAUAUUUUUCACAAUUAUGAUGAGUGUUUGGGAACAUGUUUUCUACUGUUUGCAGUGUUCAGUUAUUUGAAUAGUACUAUUUGUUUCAGUAUUCUUAUUUGUGUAUUUGAUUGUGUUUUAAUCUGCUUUCAGACAGCUGACGAAGAGAAAGCUUUGUGUGAGCAGGGCAACAGUGUUCGAACUGCAAAAGAUAGUGUUCCUGUAGCAUCUGACGUGGACAGAGCUGCAAAGCAUUACAGAAGCAAAUGGAAGGUACUUAUCCUUUGUUGUUGUUUAUGAGCACAUGUCUUUGUGUCUCCUGCGGAUUCCUGAUUGUUGAUUUUAUUUGGUGGUGGAGGCAAGGAAUUAGGGCAUUCAGCAGGACUAUCAGCAGAACAUAUAAAGCAGCAGAACAUAUAAAGCAGCAGAACUAUCAGCAGGACUAUAGUCAGCACGACUAUCAGCAGGACUAUCAGCGUGACUAUCAGCAGGACUAUCAGCAGGACUAUCAGCGUGACUAUCAGCAGGACUAUCAGCGUGAAAUUGUUUUACGUGACUAUCAGCAGGACAUAUAAAGCAGCGUGACUACCAGCAGGCGCCCAUCUUUGAAGCAACUGACUACCAGCAGGACAUAUAAAUAUGUACUAAUAAAUUAACGCUGCUACGACCAUAUAUUUUGUACUUCUUUUUUGGGUCUGUAAUAUAUAGAUUUACUAUACCACAUAUAUUGAAGGCAAAUUCCAUCAGGCAAAAACAAAGGAGCUAUUGUCUAUAUUCCAAAAAAAUUU
Molecule: long non-coding RNA, 3672 nt
Filed under: Aquilegia coerulea
Lineage: Eukaryota; Viridiplantae; Streptophyta; Magnoliopsida; Ranunculales; Ranunculaceae
Description: long non-coding RNA (ACOE_LNC002023)
Source: RNAcentral